GUGCUGACCGCCAACGGCACGCGCCUCUCUGCGGAACUGUAGCGUGUUACCCAGCCAAGGCAAGAAGCGAGGACCUAAAAGCAAACCUUGUGCUCUCCUAGAGAUAAAGAUGGCAACUAUACUUAUAUUUAGAGGCUUGCGUUAUGUUUUAUACAGAAAAUAGAGGCCCUUAAGCAAUAGUUUAACAAAAGAUUAUUUAUUUAAUCUAAUCGCUCAAACUAUUUGGCACUAACGAAAGUUUGGCAAUCUGGUUUAAUAGCAAAAUCGACAACCAAAUCUCAAUCUUUAUGGUGUGGCUCAUAACGUAUCAAACAUGGAACUAUUAAUAUAUAUUUAAUUUGUCGUUUUUAAAAUAUAUAAGUAUAUAUUAAUUUAGUAUAAUUACUGCACCCACUUAAUAUACAUGUAAAUAAUCAAUCCAAAUAUAAUUAAGUCUCGUUUAA
This is a non-coding RNA of Drosophila virilis, 443 nucleotides long. The record is from RefSeq and is a predicted model, not a curated record. Lineage: Eukaryota; Metazoa; Arthropoda; Insecta; Diptera; Drosophilidae.